AAGUAUUCAAGUUAAAAUAAUUUUUAUAAGAGUGAAAUAUCCACUUAGUUUAAAAAAAAUUGCCAAUUUCUGUGAAAGCCAAACAAGAUUCAUACCAAUAUUUGAAUAAUUAUAUAAUAUACCUUUAUUUACCCUGAAUUAAUAACUAAACGUGUGUCUGAUAUUUACUUAUCGGGUAAUACAUACGAGAUAGUAUUAAGUACACAGGUAACAGUCAUUAAAUACACGUGUAUCAGUAAAAAAUACCCGUGUAUUGAAAACACGGGUAUUAAUAGAUUUAAUACACGUGUACAAGUAACGCGGGUACACGUAUACUCUAAUAACCAUGUAUGACUACGACCCCUAAUUUAAAUGGAUGGCCUGAGUUUUAAAACCACAAAAUCAUCGAAUGGUACGAUUAUCUUGAAAUAAUAUAGCGAUUGAUGUUAGCAAAAAUGAUACACGAGGGCAAUGAAUCGACUCCGACCGAAAUCUUGGCGAACAGCAUUCAACAAGGCGAUUUCCAUGAUGAGUCGAAGACGAUAUAUUAUUGCGUUAGAUAAGAAACACGCAAAUGCAGAGGGCGAAAACCAAUUCGGGACAUUGGAUUGGAGCUCGAGAACCAAUUCGGUACCAGCCAACGGAUUGACAGUAAUCUUAUCUAAGAUAAGUUAACUUUCCGUCGAAGGUCGAAACUCAAAAAUUUCCGCAGAUUAUAUUUAUAUUUAUUCACCAACAAUAUUAUAGUCUAUCAGUGGUUGGAAGCAGCGUAUUUAUUUCACGUUGUAGACCUAAAGUCGGGAGCACGAAAAAUGAUCGCUACUCGUCAUGCGCCAAGCGGCUAGCCGCUAGCCGCGGCUGUUUUUCUAAAGUGGUUAUCAAAUCUACGCUCUUUAAUGUUGUUCAUGUUAUCGCCAGUGAUAUAUAAAUACAAUUUAUAUAUACUAUAAAUACAAGGAGUGUCUAAACACAGGAAUGCAACUUAACCAUUCUGCGUAUGCGCGUAAUUUAUUCACCACUAUUAUAAUGUUAAGCUGUUACAUAGAGUUAUUCUAUGGGCUGUUAUCAAUAUAUCAUAUCAAAUCACUAUAAUAAUAUGAGUUAUGAAUCUAAUUAUU
Molecule: long non-coding RNA, 1097 nt
Organism: Sipha flava (yellow sugarcane aphid)
Lineage: Eukaryota; Metazoa; Arthropoda; Insecta; Hemiptera; Aphididae
Exons: 3
Source: RefSeq, a predicted model, not a curated record